GUCCAGACCAGCAGAGACCCAGCGUAACAAAAGUCGCCUUGAACUGAAAAUUAAGAGAGACGUGCUACAAAUAUUAAGAUGCCACUGACAGAGAAAAUCGGACACAUUUUGAACCUAAGCCUUAAACUGCAAACCGCAAGGGCAAACACUCCUGAGUGUGGACGCUGAGUUCCUUUCUAGCUACUUUUCACGAAACAUUCAGCUUUCUUCACGGAUAUUCGCUGCAGCCUAAAAAUUCAACGUCAGGAAAGUGUUUAAAGAAAUGUCCAACGAUGAGGAACAGAAGGAAAAUGAUUCAAGGAAAGAACCAUCACGUAGACAUUCGGAGCGACGUGGAAGAAGAAGAUGGGAGUCGUGACAAACCUUCACGAUGACCGUGGGAAAAAGGCAAGUUACAAAGGAGUUUGGAUUGUCCAGUUCCCAUUUUUCUUU
This is a long non-coding RNA of Herpailurus yagouaroundi (jaguarundi), 432 nucleotides long. RefSeq lists it as uncharacterized. The record is from RefSeq and is a predicted model, not a curated record. NCBI's taxonomy places the organism in Eukaryota, Metazoa, Chordata, Mammalia, Carnivora, Felidae. The transcript has 2 exons.